CCGAGUGCGGGCCUCGCGGCCCAACCUCCCACCCUUGUCUCUAUACACCUGUUGCUUUGGCGGGCCCACCGGGGCCACCUGGUCGCCGGGGGACGCACGUCCCCGGGCCCGCGCCCGCCGAAGCGCUCUGUGAACCCUGAUGAAGAUGGGCUGUCUGAGUACUAUGAAAAUUGUCA
RNAcentral lists this unclassified non-coding RNA (176 nucleotides) under soil metagenome. RNAcentral's name for it is "partial internal transcribed spacer 1". The record is from RNAcentral.